RNAcentral lists this ribosomal RNA (120 nucleotides) under Diaphorina citri (Asian citrus psyllid). The record is from RNAcentral. Lineage: Eukaryota; Metazoa; Arthropoda; Insecta; Hemiptera; Psyllidae.
GCCAGCGGUGAUAGCACGUUGAAUACAGCAGUUCCCAAUGGUUCACUGAAGUUAAGCAACGUUGUGCGUUGUUAAUAUCCGGAUGGGUGACCAUCUUUUGGCAAUCGCGAGCUACUGGCU